GCGACCCUGCAGUGUUCGACAAGGCCAUAUAUUCCUUGAACCAAUGCUCUGCAUCCAGGUCGCGGCUUCAUGCGCACCGCUGUUGCGAUCGUCCCUCGUCGGACGAACCUGAUGUGGUGCCUGCUGCGGCCGAACUGAACUGAACGGUUCAGGAUGCCGGUCUGCCGGCACAUGCGGGGUCCCC
Molecule: non-coding RNA, 184 nt
Organism: Burkholderiales bacterium 70-64
Lineage: Bacteria; Pseudomonadati; Pseudomonadota; Betaproteobacteria; Burkholderiales
Source: Rfam